GGCGAGAUGGCCGAGCGGUCUAAGGCGCUGUGUUAAGGUGACUCCUUCCUCCAAGGAAGAGCUCAUCCGCAGUCUUCGGACGUGGGUUCGAAUCCCACUCUCGUCA
This 106-nucleotide transfer RNA is filed under the name Apiotrichum porosum. RNAcentral's name for it is "Trichosporon porosum tRNA". It matches the Rfam family "tRNA". Rfam says of the family: Transfer RNA (tRNA) molecules are approximately 80 nucleotides in length. Their secondary structure includes four short double-helical elements and three loops (D, anti-codon, and T loops). The record is from Rfam by way of RNAcentral. Lineage: Eukaryota; Fungi; Basidiomycota; Tremellomycetes; Trichosporonales; Trichosporonaceae.